Molecule: non-coding RNA, 2072 nt
Organism: Ictidomys tridecemlineatus (thirteen-lined ground squirrel)
Lineage: Eukaryota; Metazoa; Chordata; Mammalia; Rodentia; Sciuridae
Source: RefSeq, a predicted model, not a curated record
UCUUCUGACUGAAAUGCAACCAGAAAGGAACUUCAGAAAACUUGUGUAUUAUCCUCAGGGGUCUUGAGCACGUUCCUAAGUUGCGAUACACAACAUGGCUGUUUCUGGGAAUGUCUUUCCAGUCCCUUGCAAAAGAUUUUGGAAUGCAAUUUGGUUUAUGUUGCUGUUUUCUGGGAAGAAGGGGAAGGAAGAUGGAGCAGAUGAGAUGAAGGUGGAUGAUCUGGAAUAGCUAGGUCAACAGCACAGAAAACUCAAGAGGAUUUAAGGGCUGAGAGUGCCAUCAACAUCUGGUUGCAACCGCCAUCUGGCUUAUCACACCAUGGCUGAGAAGAAAACCAGGGUAACUGAAGACACAGUACAGAAAACUUACAAAGAACAUACCUGGGGCUCAUGAUAGCAUUUUGGGGCCCCAAACUUAGUUGUUUUGGGGCCCCAAACUUAGACUUUACCGUGAAGUUUUCAUCUCGUAUAAAACAAUAAUUUUUCACUUAAAGCCAAUUGAGGCUGAAGUUUGUCAUCUAAAGCCAAAGGAAUCCUUAUUAAUAUGGUAAAAAGGCUCUUUUAUGCCUGAACAUGUGGUCAUCUGAAAAAUCAAAGGCAAAGCUAAGAGGGAUGGUGGAAAUGCAAAGAAUCUUAUAUGUUAAUCAGCUGUCGUCUUCUGUUCUACCUCUUGAAUGAUAGUGUAGCUGGUUUCAGACUUCUGGAUUGAAGAAUUUUUAUUAUACCUUAUCUCAGCAUCCCCGGACACUAUUGUAUAUGUUGAGCAGAAUGAGGAAAUAGGGAGGAAAAGUCUGUGCAUGUGUUCUCAUGGUUGCCUGGUGGUAGAGGUGGGGAAAUGGUCUACAUUGGACAUCCAGCCCCCAGUGUCACUUCUUCCCAAUCACAUCUCUCUGUUUGCCCUCCAUCCUGCCCAGCAGCAGUAGUAGUUAUUCUAUAAUCAGUGUAGUCGAAUUUUUCUCUCUAUUGCUCUUUAUUUUAAAUACAUGAAUAAUUAAAUUCUUUAGUAACAGGCUUUAUAAUUUUAUGUCCAUAGUAUUGUACACAUUCUAUUGUGGCUUGCUUUGCUUACUUACAUUAUAUUUGGAGAUUUACUUAUAUUGGCAGAGGUAGAUGUGUUAGCCUUCAUUUGUAUAAAACUGUUUUUCUUUUGUCCUACUCUUGAAUGAUAGUUUACCUGCUUAUAGACUGGUUAAAUUGAGAAUUUUUAUUACAUCUUAUCUCAGCAUCAUCAUAGACAACUAUUGUAUAUGUUAAGCAGUCAACCACCAGUUCCUAUUAUUAAUUUAUAUCUGCUUUGAAAUGUUACAAAUAAUUUCAGAUUUUUUUAUUAUUUUAACCUCCUUAAUACUUACUGUGUUUUUUUGAAUCUGUAGAUUCAGGUUCAUUCAUUAAUGUUGGAAAAUACUUUACCAUUAUCUAUGCAAAUACCCCCCCCAUAUUCUAUGUCCUUUCAUUCUGAAAACCCUACUAGAUAUGUGUGACAUCUAUACACUCUAAACUAUUUCACUUAAUCCUAAAUUCUCUCAUUGUUUUGCAGUAUAACUUCCUCAAAUUUGUUUUCCAAUCUGUUAAUUCUCUCUUCAGGGGUGUUUAAUAUAUUACUUAAUCGGUUACUGUUUUUUAAUUGCAGUUACUACUUUUUCCAUAACUACAUGUUGUAUAGCCACUUUCUCAAAGGUCCCUAAUCUCUUUUCAUAGGGCCUUAAUCUUUCAUUAGUAAAUUAAUAUUUUUCUUUAUGUUUGCAAUAAUUUUAAACAAAUUUUUAUAUUGUUUUCCAGACUCUUCUGUUUAAGUUCGAGAAAUAUAAUUUUCAUGAAGUUUAUUUGGCUGUAUUAUGCACUGUUCUUGUGUGUGUGUGUGUGUGUGUGUGUGUGUGUGUGUGUGUGUGUGUUUUCCUUGCAGAAAGCCUUUGGCUCCCCUUUGUAAUAGAUUUCUGGUUUUGUUUCUCCUGAGCAUCCCAGGAGUAUCACUUGUCAAAGAGUCAAUAUUUUUAUUAUAUAUUUUGUGAUAUAUUUUCACUUCUUUGCUCCCUACACAUUAAAUCAGAAACUUUAAGAACUGUUUCUCCCUU